Molecule: transfer RNA, 64 nt
Filed under: Neomaskellia andropogonis
Lineage: Eukaryota; Metazoa; Arthropoda; Insecta; Hemiptera; Aleyrodidae
Description: tRNA-Trp
Source: RNAcentral
AAAAUUUUAAGUUAAGCUUAAACUAUUAAUUUUCAAAAUUAAAAAUAUUUUUAUUUAAAUUUUA